RNAcentral lists this long non-coding RNA (498 nucleotides) under Homo sapiens (human). RNAcentral describes it as "non-protein coding lnc-ANKLE2-1:1". Lineage: Eukaryota; Metazoa; Chordata; Mammalia; Primates; Hominidae. The record is from RNAcentral.
UGGACUUGACGGAGCAGCAGGGCAGGAAGGAACUGGAAGGGCUACAGCAGCUGCUGCAGAACGUCAAGUCUGAGUUGGAGAUGGCCCAGGAAGACCUGUCCAUGACCCAGAAGGAUAAAUUUAUGCUCCAGGCAAAAGUGUCGGAGCUGAAGAACAACAUGAAGACCCUGCUCCAGCAGAACCAGCAGCUCAAGCUGGACCUACGCCGCGGCGCGGCCAAGACGGUACUCAGGCCCGCGUCCCUCCCGGGGUAGCCGACGUGCGCUGUAGAUGCUCUCGGACAGGAGGCUGGCAGACGUAGAAAGGAGCCGAAAGGCGAGGCCAGCUCUUCCAACCCUGCCACGCCCAUCAAGAUCCCGGACUGCCCAGUUCCCGCCUCGCUGCUGGAGGAGCUGCUGAGACCACCGCCCGCCGUGAGCAAGGAGCCCCUCAAGAACCUGAACAGCUGCCUCCAGCAGCUCAAGCAGGAGAUGGACAGCCUGCAGCGCCAGAUGGAGG